This 86-nucleotide transfer RNA is filed under the name Actinocatenispora sera. RNAcentral describes it as "tRNA-Ser". It matches the Rfam family "tRNA". Rfam says of the family: Transfer RNA (tRNA) molecules are approximately 80 nucleotides in length. Their secondary structure includes four short double-helical elements and three loops (D, anti-codon, and T loops). The record is from RNAcentral. Lineage: Bacteria; Bacillati; Actinomycetota; Actinomycetes; Micromonosporales; Micromonosporaceae.
GGAGAGGUGGCCGAGUGGUAAGGCUGCGGCGUGCUAAGCCGUCGACGGGGUUCGCCCCGCGCAGGUUCGAUCCCUGCUCUCUCCGC